CGUGGGAACGUGCCUUUAUGGUUCGGAAUACGCUCAGGGAAACUUGUGCUAAUACCGAAUGUGCCCUUCGGGGGAGAGAUUUAUCGCCUUUAGAGCGGCCCGCGUCUGAUUAGCUAGUUGGUGAGGUAAAGGCUCACCAAGGCGACGAUCAGUAGCUGGUCUGAGAGGAUGAUCAGCCACAUUGGGACUGAACACGGCCCAAACUCCUACGGGAGGCAGCAGUGGGGAAUCUUGCGCAUGGGGCGAAAGCCUGACGCAGCCAUGCCGCGUGAAUGAUGAAGGUCUUAAGAUUGUAAAAUUCUUUCACCGGGGACGAUAUUGACCGUACCGGAGAAAAGCCCGGCUAACUUCGUGCAGCAGCCGCGGUAAUACGAAGGGGGCUAGCGUUGUCGGAUUACUGGGCGUAAAGGGAGCGUAGCGGACAUUUACUCAGGGUGAAUCCGGGGCUCAACUCGGAUUGCUUGAUACUGGUGUCUUGAGAUAAAGAGUGUGUGAACUCCAGUGAGAGUGAAUCCUAAUAUCCGACACCCCACGUGGGAGGCACACCUGCUCUUACUGCGUUAG
Molecule: ribosomal RNA, 564 nt
Filed under: Brevundimonas vesicularis
Lineage: Bacteria; Pseudomonadati; Pseudomonadota; Alphaproteobacteria; Caulobacterales; Caulobacteraceae
Description: bacterial SSU rRNA
Rfam family: Bacterial small subunit ribosomal RNA
Source: RNAcentral